UUCCCACCUUUCCGAUGUGGGAC
RNAcentral lists this small nuclear RNA (23 nucleotides) under Arabidopsis thaliana (thale cress). Its description in RNAcentral is "snRNA_13408". Lineage: Eukaryota; Viridiplantae; Streptophyta; Magnoliopsida; Brassicales; Brassicaceae. The record is from RNAcentral.